UACGUAGGGUGCAAGCGUUAAUCGGAAUUACUGGGCGUAAAGCGUGCGCAGGCGGUUGUGCAAGACAGAUGUGAAAUCCCCGGGCUUAACCUGGGAACUGCAUUUGUGACUGCACGGCUAGAGUGUGUCAGAGGGGGGUAGAAUUCCACGUGUAGCAGUGAAAUGCGUAGAUAUCGGGAGGAACACCUGUGGCGAAGGCGGCCCCCUGGUUGGAUACUGACGCUGAGACGCGAAAGCGUGGGGAGCAAACAGG
This 253-nucleotide ribosomal RNA is filed under the name uncultured bacterium. RNAcentral's name for it is "partial 16S ribosomal RNA". It matches the Rfam family "Bacterial small subunit ribosomal RNA", at positions 524 to 776 of the family's 1533-position model. The record is from RNAcentral.